GACGAAUGCUGGCGGCGUGCUUAACACAUGCAAGUCGAACGCUGAAGCACCAGCUUGCUGGUGUGGAUGAGUGGCGAACGGGUGAGUAAUACGUGAGUAACCUGCCCUUGACUCUGGGAUAAGCCCGGGAAACUGGGUCUAAUACUGGAUGCUACAUGUCACCGCAUGGUGGUGUGUGGAAAGGGUUUACUGGUCUUGGAUGGGCUCACGGCCUAUCAGCUUGUUGGUGAGGUAAUGGCUCACCAAGGCGACGACGGGUAGCCGGCCUGAGAGGGUGACCGGCCACACUGGGACUGAGACACGGCCCAGACUCCUACGGGAGGCAGCAGUGGGGAAUAUUGCACAAUGGGCGAAAGCCUGAUGCAGCGGCGCCGCGUGAGGGAUGACGGCCUUCGGGUUGUAAACCUCUUUCAGCAGGGAAGAAGCCACAAGUGACGGUACCUGCAGAAGAAGCGCCGGCUAACUACGUG
RNAcentral lists this ribosomal RNA (470 nucleotides) under uncultured bacterium. RNAcentral describes it as "partial 16S ribosomal RNA". It matches the Rfam family "Bacterial small subunit ribosomal RNA", at positions 28 to 507 of the family's 1533-position model. The record is from RNAcentral.